GACGAACGCUGGCGGCGUGCCUAAUACAUGCAAGUAGAACGCUGAAGGAGGAGCUUGCUUCUCUGGAUGAGUUGCGAACGGGUGAGUAACGCGUAGGUAACCUGCCCGGUAGCGGGGGAUAACUAUUGGAAACGAUAGCUAAUACCGCAUAAGAGUAGAUGUCGCAUGACAUUUGCUUAAAAGGUGCAAUUGCAUCACUACCAGAUGGACCUGCGUUGUAUUAGCUAGUUGGUGAGGUAACGGCUCACCAAGGCAACGAUACAUAGCCGACCUGAGAGGGUGAUCGGCCACACUGGGACUGAGACACGGCCCAGACUCCUACGGGAGGCAGCAGUAGGGAAUCUUCGGCAAUGGACGGAAGUCUGACCGAGCAACGCCGCGUGAGUGAAGAAGGUUUUCGGAUCGUAAAGCUCUGUUGUAAGAGAAGAACGAGUGUGAGAGUGGAAAGUUCACACUGUGACGGUAUCUUACCAGAAAGGGACGGCUGACUACGUG
RNAcentral lists this ribosomal RNA (495 nucleotides) under uncultured bacterium. Its description in RNAcentral is "partial 16S ribosomal RNA". It matches the Rfam family "Bacterial small subunit ribosomal RNA", at positions 28 to 507 of the family's 1533-position model. The record is from RNAcentral.